Molecule: ribosomal RNA, 406 nt
Filed under: uncultured Flavobacteriaceae bacterium
Lineage: Bacteria; Pseudomonadati; Bacteroidota; Flavobacteriia; Flavobacteriales; Flavobacteriaceae
Description: bacterial SSU rRNA
Rfam family: Bacterial small subunit ribosomal RNA
Source: RNAcentral
AGUCGAACGGUAACAUUGGUGCUUGCACCAGAUGACGAGUGGCGCACGGGUGCGUAACGCGUAUGCAACCUACCUUUUACUAGAGUAUAGCCCAGAGAAAUUUGGAUUAAUCCUCUAUAACAUCUUUUAAUUUCAUGAUUUUAAGAUUAAAGUUUUAACGGUAAAAGAUGGGCAUGCGUCCUAUUAGUUUGUAGGUGAGGUAACGGCUCACCUAGACUACGAUAGGUAGGGGCCCUGAGAGGGGGAUCCCCCACACUGGUACUGAGACACGGACCAGACUCCUACGGGAGGCAGCAGUAAGGAAUAUUGGACAAUGGACGAAAGUCUGAUCCAGCCAUGCCGCGUGCAGGAUGACAGCCCUACGGGUUGUAAACUGCUUUUAUACAGGAAGAAACACUCCGACGUG